RNAcentral lists this ribosomal RNA (450 nucleotides) under uncultured bacterium. RNAcentral describes it as "partial 16S ribosomal RNA". It matches the Rfam family "Bacterial small subunit ribosomal RNA", at positions 354 to 796 of the family's 1533-position model. The record is from RNAcentral.
GUGGGGAAUUUUGGACAAUGGGCGCAAGCCUGAUCCAGCAAUGCCGCGUGCAGGAAGAAGGCCUUCGGGUUGUAAACUGCUUUUGUACGGAACGAAACGGUCCUGGCUAAUACCCGGGGCUAAUGACGGUACCGUAAGAAUAAGCACCGGCUAACUACGUGCCAGCAGCCGCGGUAAUACGUAGGGUGCGAGCGUUAAUCGGAAUUACUGGGCGUAAAGCGUGCGCAGGCGGUGCUGUAAGACAGGCGUGAAAUCCCCGGGCUCAACCUGGGAAUUGCGCUUGUGACUACAGUGCUGGAGUGCGGCAGAGGGGGAUGGAAUUCCGCGUGUAGCAGUGAAAUGCGUAGAUAUGCGGAGGAACACCGAUGGCGAAGGCAAUCCCCUGGGCCUGCACUGACGCUCAUGCACGAAAGCGUGGGGAGCAAACAGGAUUAGAAACCCCAGUAGUCC